AGAGAGAUCUGCUUUAAUACUGACUGUGACAGGAGUACAAGUAUCAACUUCGGCGCCUUAUGGAGUUACCCCCACUUCCAAAAUCUGGGAGCAGACUGGAUCCAGCCAUGAAAGAUUGUCCUCAAAUUAAAUCAACAUUCAGUACACACAAUUGGGCACAAAGUUUGCGCUGCCACAUUUCUAAACAGCUCUUAUUAACUGGGCACGUUGUCCCUCAUGAUGUGACUCUCCUAGCUACAGAAGUGGUACGAUUUUUGGAAAGUGCUCCAUCAGGAUAUCAUCGAGACUGGUGGCUGGAUUUGCUUGAAGUUCUACGCCUAUUGCGACCGUUUCAAGAUUGCAUGGCCAGUGAGAGGACACUUAUCUUACCUGCUUUGGAGAGGCUGUAUAGGGCCUAUGGGCAUCACCAAGUACUCCUAAUUGAUUUGGAUAUACCCGG
This is a long non-coding RNA of Pelobates fuscus (common spadefoot toad), 439 nucleotides long. RefSeq lists it as uncharacterized. The transcript has 3 exons. The record is from RefSeq and is a predicted model, not a curated record. Lineage: Eukaryota; Metazoa; Chordata; Amphibia; Anura; Pelobatidae.